GGGGACAUAGCUCAGUUGGGAGAGCAACAGACUGAAGUAUCGUCUUCUGGAGGUCCCCAGUUCAAUCCUGGGUGUCCCCA
Mucidula mucida is the source of this 80-nucleotide non-coding RNA. The record is from the annotation of a GenBank genome assembly. Lineage: Eukaryota; Fungi; Basidiomycota; Agaricomycetes; Agaricales; Physalacriaceae.